Molecule: ribosomal RNA, 253 nt
Filed under: uncultured bacterium
Lineage: Bacteria
Description: partial 16S ribosomal RNA
Rfam family: Bacterial small subunit ribosomal RNA
Source: RNAcentral
UACGUAGGCAGCGAGCGUUGUUCGGAGUUACUGGGCGUAAAGGGUGUGUAGGCGGUCCUCUAAGUUUGGUGUGAAAUCUCCCGGCUCAACCGGGGAGGGUCACUCGAUACUGAUCGACUUGAAGGCAGGAGAGGGAAGCGGAAUUCCCGGUGUAGUGGUGAAAUGCGUAGAUAUCGGGAGGAACACCAGUGGCGAAGGCGGCUUCCUGGCCUGUUCUUGACGCUGAGGCGCGAAAGCUAGGGGAGCAAACGGG